Molecule: long non-coding RNA, 679 nt
Organism: Hydra vulgaris (swiftwater hydra)
Lineage: Eukaryota; Metazoa; Cnidaria; Hydrozoa; Anthoathecata; Hydridae
Source: RefSeq, a predicted model, not a curated record
AAUCUAUUUUGUUAAACAUGCUAUACAAUGUUAUAAGGAAUAUAAGGUAAAAUUUUGAUACAAAAAAAAGUUAUGCCAAACAAGUCAAACUCUCAAGUAACGUAUUUUUGAAUAUACCACAUGAACAAUACAUGUACAUAUCAAUAAAAUAUGAGAUGCGCCAAGAAGUCCUUACGGUCGUAUCAAAGAGCACCGCAGAUGAGAAUUUAAUGGGAAGUUCACGCCUCCUUCCAAACUGAUGUUGCAAAACUUGCCCAGAGGAUCUGGAUCAUCAGAACUCACAGUGCACAGUGGGAAAUUAGAUGGCCAAAAAUCAGAAAAGUAACUUGUUUCAAUCAUUAUGUCUGAUAGUGGGUUUUGUAACUAAUACCCUCACUAAGAAUUUUCCAGUUUAUGAAAUUCUAAAUUUGGCAGGCUCAAUUGUAGUGGCUUCUUGAAAUCAUUGAAGAAUUGAGAAUAUAUACAUCAUUGGAAAGAUUAUAGUAUAAACUGUUAAAAAUAAAAAAUAAAAAGUUUCUUGAAAAAGUAGGUAGUAAAACUUUUAGCAUUAAAAGUAAAAAAUUCAUCACAAAAGUACUAAAUUUUAACUUUGAUAAAGAAUUAAAAAAUUGUUCCAAUUUGUACCUUUUCCAUAUUUUGAUAUUUUUUAGUCUAUAGUAUCUACUAACUACCCUGAAAA